Molecule: long non-coding RNA, 1354 nt
Organism: Vicia villosa (hairy vetch)
Lineage: Eukaryota; Viridiplantae; Streptophyta; Magnoliopsida; Fabales; Fabaceae
Exons: 3
Source: RefSeq, a predicted model, not a curated record
GAAAAAUAAAUGAAAGAGGGAAAUUAGGGUUUCCCAUGUGGCUAUUCAGCUUUUCUCGUGAAAACUCAGGGUUCUCUCCCUCAAACUCACAAACGGCGUACGGCGGUAAGCUCCGCUCUCAUCUCGUUGACGCGACGGCGAUGGCACAAUCCGUCUUCUCCGAUCGCCGUGAACUAAACCAACAAAACCUCCUCCUAUCUCCGCCUCUUACCACUAAGUUUCGUAAAGCUUUGAAUUCGGAACUCAGAGGCUCGAUUUCAUUCAAUUUGAAGCGAGGAAUGGAAAGGAGCACACACAUUAACCAUUGAAGCGAGUAAGAGCACUUACCUGUGGUGAAGAACCGGUGUGAAGUGAAGAGAAAAACCAGAGACAAGGAUCCGAUCGACAAUUGGCGAAAUAAACGCGGAAAGCUGAAGAAAUUCUUCAAGUCUGUUGAAUUUGUUUAUGAUCGUUUCAGAGCCUUCUUCCAUCAUGCUAACAUUUGGGGCUGAUUCGGAUGCAUCAGUAUCGUCGCGGCCAAAAAGAUCAAAUGUCGUCAUGAUAUGUCGGGUCCUUCUAUCAACACAAACAUUCUGAAUUGUUAUUGGAUUCUGCCAUGAACCGAUAGAGCGGGAGUUGUUCGCGGGUUUGAAAAGUGUAUUGAACUGGUUUUGGGUUUUGAAGUGCAGGGACAUCAUGAACUUAAAGGGAACACUUGAGAGAUUCAUCGCCCAAAGGAGAUCCUACUCGAUCUUUCCCUGUUCUGAGGCAGCAGCACUUCCAUUUAUAUAUAUUUUUUUGAUGUAAUUUCAGUUUCUUUCUCUUUUCAAUGUACAUGUACUUGGAUGAACCCCUUGAGAAUGUAUUAUAUUUGAAACAUGUAGUGAGACUUGAGAUUGAACCAUGUAAUGUUCCUUUUCUUCAGAAUGAAUUUUGACUUUGGUGUCAUUUACUUCUCUCAAUGCAUGAACGCGAAAAAAAGAAUCGCACUUUAAUCUUCAAAUUGACAGUUGACCCAAAAUCUUGCAAUAGAAGAAGCGAACUUUGACCAAUGGUUUGUUAUACAAAUAAUCCAAUAUUCCAACUUCAAAUGAUUGUAAGAAUCAUAUGACUCAAAUUUCAAAUGAGGAUGAGACCAAAUGGGACCCUAAGGUUGGAAUGUACCACCCCAAGGUCACAUAAACCUGACAAACGAAUCCAUGCUUGGGAAAUAAAUUUCAAUUCAGUGAGACUCUUGACUACCACAAGAUUAGGGAAAUAACCCCUAGAUCAAGAACCCCUUGUAACUGGAAACCAUCUGAACACAUGUCUUUCAAAAGACUAAGCCAACCACAAUCCUAAGUGUAGGAUACCCUUUCUGAGGAAAUAAAUAACC